Small nucleolar RNA from Prolemur simus (greater bamboo lemur), 137 nucleotides. Lineage: Eukaryota; Metazoa; Chordata; Mammalia; Primates; Lemuridae. The record is from Ensembl.
ACCCAAAGAGCUUCCCUCUCAAGGGGAUAGUUCAUAUACUCAGGAACGUGGCCCUUUGGGAAAAUAUCUGCCAUUCUUAAAGAUGUUGUGGGUGAGCAAAUGUGCUACGUUUGCUUUCCUUAUAAUUGUCUGUAUAC